Tyto alba (common barn owl) is the source of this 2969-nucleotide long non-coding RNA. RefSeq lists it as uncharacterized. NCBI's taxonomy places the organism in Eukaryota, Metazoa, Chordata, Aves, Strigiformes, Tytonidae. The transcript has 2 exons. The record is from RefSeq and is a predicted model, not a curated record.
GCAAAGGAGGGGGUUUGGAUUUCUUUUUUUUUUUUUUUUUUUUUUGCAGGGAGUGGGAAAGUGAUGGGGACUGCAGAGGAGUCUGUUACAAAAUCAGAUGCAAUUUUAGCUGUCUGAAAGAGUUGCUUUAGGCUACAGGCAGCUGAUGAUCAAUGGUGCUGUUGGCAAAUAUGCUUUCAGCUGGCUGCUGUCUCUCCUGAGGGACAGUUUCAGCCCAAGAUCCAUUGCAGUGGUGGUACGGCAAGGGAUUUCAUUUGCUUUGGGCUAAGGACCUUCUGCCGCCCAGUUCCACCAGUGAACCAAAGAGAAGAAAAGCUGGAGGUGAUGAGGGAGAGACACAGCACUGUCAUUGGUGAGUUAUUUGCUGUUCCUUUCUCCUCAAAUCCCCACGGUGGGUCUGUGUUAGAAGAUCUUAUGCAAAACCCUGUACUCUUGAGCUAAGGGUUUGCUAAUGGAUGAUCAGGCUGUGCUGGUGUAGGCUCUGCCUUUCAGGAGAUACUGCAGAAAUAGGUUUAAAUGAUUCAGCUGAUCAGAAACCUGGCCUAUGGCCUCUACCCUAGCUUUUUAAUUUUCAUUGGUUUAUUUUGUUUGUUUGUUUAUCUCCUAAGCUGAUAUGAAGGAAAGAUAGAAAGAGCCUGCUGAAGGUCAAGGCGAGCCUCACCAUCAGUUCAUCCGAAUGUUGAUAUUCACCAGUAGAAAUCCGUGCCCACAGGUACUGGAAGUCUCCUCAGCAAGAGAAACAACAUUGCUGCAGGGGACAAACAACUAGUCCUGACCUUCUUUACACAGCCCUUCUCUGGGAAAAAGCAUCCCCUGAAGUCAAUAUACAUUCUGCCUAGCUUUCAUCCGAAGAAAAACGUCUGGAUUGAAAUGGCAACAACAAAUAAUAGGUAAAGGAUGCUUCCCUGUGGCUUCAUAGAUCUGCUGUGUAAGAGAAAACAUUCAGCCCUGGGUGCACAAGAGUUGUGGUUCACGUCUCCCUCUGAAGAAGCCUCAUUUUAAAUAAUGUUGUAGCAUACCUACUGAAUGCAGAUGCUGCGCUGCAGGCAUUUUGGGCAGUGAAUUUCAGCCUGUGCCCUUGGCUAGGCUGUUGAGGACAAGUUCCAAUACCCGUCCUUCUUUCAGAGAUGCCAGUCCAUCUUCAGCCAUGUCGCUCAUUGCUGGUGAUCUCCCUGCUUUGCUGUGCAUCAGAGGUUCAUUUCAUUCCCUUUUCUUUAGGUGUCAGUGAUUUGCUCUCUCUCCACCUAAACCAGAGAUCUGGCACAUCAAUACUUAGAAGGCUUAGGAGAAGAUGAAAAGAUCAAUAUUUCACUGAACUCACAAAGUUGCACAACUUCUCAGCCUCCAUUUUAAUGUCGGCUGUGGUUAGUUUGUUUUUUUUUCUGUAAGCUAAGUGAUUUCAGCUUCUCUUUGAGUCCCACCUGUGUGAAUAUCUUGGUUUUCUCCAUUGUUAACAAGGAACUGUGAAGAGGUUGUCCAGGCUCACUAGUCAGGCAGUACUGAGGUGGCUGACUUCUAGGAAAAGCCACAGCAAGAAUAAGUGAGAGACAGCCUACGCACGGCUUUUGCUGGUCUUUAGCUUAUGCUCCAACUCAUGCUCAUGUUAAACAAAUGGCCAUUAGCAAUUGUAACAGACAAAUGCAAAGAAAAACGAGCCAGAUGCUUAGUCAUGGAGCUGUGCUUAGAAAUGAUGGCCCGUUAUAAGGCAGCUUCAGUGACUACAGCAGAUCUGUGCCAGCUCACGGCAAUUUAGGAUUUGUUUUGCUCAAGUUAGUCUGUGGUCUGAAGUUUCUGAUCUUGUCCUUUGUGUGAGCUAGAUCAUGCAAAUGGGGGUGCCAGAGCCCCAAGGACAUUGAGCAGAGUGCUGCAUGAGUACUGGCGUGAGAAGGAGCAGCAAUUAGCUCAAAAUUCACGCUGCUGGCCUGUCAUUUCCGAGCUCCCCCCCCCUGCUGCUCUGUAAUGGGAAGACUUGCGCUCUAGAAGAAGGGGAGAAGAACAUUUUGCUCAUGCUCAUAUUAAUCAAGUUGUCUUGUGAGCUGCUGAAUCUGUGAAAUUGUAUCUCCCAUGGUGUUCAGUGGUAAUGGCAGUUUCCUAUGUGGACUCUCUGGCGUCUAGUAAUACAGUUGUGUUUCUGCAGUGGGUGCACUCCCAGGGUUUUUCUCCUAUGCCCACCUACUUCCACAGCACUUGUAGGCAGCUCAAACCUUAGAGACUACCAUCCCCUGUCAAGUUUGAUCAAACUCAGUUCACAGGCUCAAAAAAUUAUUUAGGAGGGACUGACUGGCACUUGCACAGACAGUGUGAUCUCAUAAGCUUCCUUUCCUUGGGAAACUAGGCUACCAACCUAGCAACAGGGGAAAAAAAAUGCCAUCCUGCUAGCAGAAAGGACUUAAACACUGGAAGAAAAGAGGGAAGGUGGGAGAGGAAAGUAAAGCUGUUUUGAAGGGGAAAAAAAUUCACUGCCUUGUGGCUGCAGAUCUCCUGCAUGCUUACAGGGCCAACCUUGGAGAGGCACACUGGAGAAAAUAUUCUCCAGAGGAUGGCAAGAUCUCUUGUGAAAAUUAGUAAGGGAGAGAUAUCACCUGGAUUCAUCUCACCACCAGGCAUCCUAAAUGGCUAUUUCUAUGGUAAGGAUUGUCUGCGGUGGUGCCUGUUUCUCUCCGCUGACUGGAGGAAGACACUGAUGCAACUAGUGUCCAACCCAUGUGCCUGCAGUGUCUGAAGUGAGGUGGGUCCUGUCCCAAAGGGAAUGAUUCUCUUACUGCUCUCUCCUUCAGGCCAAAGUUUUCUAUGGUGCUGCUACAGGGUUUGAUACUCCACGUACCAUGUUUGUAUUUUAGAAAAGCUGCUGUGUAUCUGAAUAGCUGCAGAUGUAUGCAUGGUUAUACCGGGCAUUUAUAAGCACUUAUCCUCUGUGCACUAAAACCUUUCCUGUCCUUGUAACUUACAAAAUAAAAUCCUUUAAGUGA